This is a long non-coding RNA of Pogoniulus pusillus (Red-fronted tinkerbird), 1886 nucleotides long. RefSeq lists it as uncharacterized. Lineage: Eukaryota; Metazoa; Chordata; Aves; Piciformes; Lybiidae. The transcript is spliced from 2 exons. The record is from RefSeq and is a predicted model, not a curated record.
CUCUAUAGUGCUUGCUCUCCAUGAGCCCACAGCAUCCCAGCCCCUCUGCUCCUCAUGAAAUCCAAGCGGGAGCAGAGCUGGUUGGCUGUGGGACUCUUGGUGGUUCCCUGUCUCCCUCUGGGUGGAGGGAGGCGAGGCAGAACAGCUGAUGUAGCGGCGGGGUGUCGAUUCACGGCUCGUAAUUCAAUUAAGAGAGAGGAGAGAUCAGAAGGAGACUGCAUUAAAGAAUAAAUCAGGUAGAGGGAGUGGAGUUCCUGCCUUUAAUUACGGCGUGGAUUUGUAACGCCAGAGACUCCAUCAAUCAGCCGGGAGACAAAAGGUGUCAGGAGGGAGAAGCCUUCCCUGGGUUAAUCACCGCUGAGGGAGGAGCAGAUUAGCAGGUGGCUGUCAGAAAGCCGAUACCUGCCCGACAGCAGCGCUGGGCAGCACCAAACCCCUUCAGCAGCGAGCGUGGUGAUGCCUGGUGGGUGCAGACGAGGAGAUGUUUGUGAUGCCAGGCAGCGAUGCCAGACAACGGGUGGCUGAUCAUCUCUGCUCUCCAUCCCAACUGCUUGGGUGCCAGCACAGUGUCUCAUCUGGACAGAGAAAUGGACAGACUGACAUCCUCAGUAGACCUUACCUCAGCUUGGUGAGCCUGAUCCCCAGCACAGAUCUGUGCUCUGGAGCUGGAUCCUGUGCUGCUGCCUGGGGUCUGUGCCAUCAGCUCAGCUCCUCAAUCACCCUUGGGAAAUGCCCACUGAAGAGACACACUUGUGCAGGUGUUAGGAAAAGCUUGGGAGGGGGCUCUGUGCCCAGCCUGCUGCCUGGCUGGCUGGCUGAAGGGUGGGAGGGCAGGUAGGGCUUCUGCAGGGACAGGGUCACAAGAGCCAUACUCUCAGGCUGUGGGAGGAUGCCAUCCCUGCUCCUCCUGAGCUAAACUCGGUCUAAGCUGGCUCAGCUGGAGCCCAGGGGCUGUGGGGCAUUUAUUGCAAUGGCCUACACCAUCUGAAGAGUAUCCUUAACCCAAAAUGCUCUUAGGAAAGCUCACAGCUCCCCACACCAGGGCAGCAGGAGCAGCUGAACCACACUGCUGGCUUGAAACACAGACCUGCAGCUCUGCUGAAGCCCUCUGAGCUGUUGCCACUGGAACAAAUCCUAAGGCCACCAUGAUACCAAAAUAAGUGAUAAAACAGCACCCAGCUGCUGAGGAUGGGCCCUGCACCCUAAACCAUGCAGCCCCAAGCCUGUGGGACAUCCUAACCCUGCUAACCGAGCUGAGACCCAGCUGUGCUGCUGCAAAGGUGAGGCCAUUGGCCUUUAGGUCCUCUGAACCUCCAAAAUGAAGAACAAAAGCCCACCAGCUCCUUUGCUCUCCAGUAAAGUGAGGGGGUUUGUGAGAUGGGUUGACUUCUCCAGGGGACAGCUGGGGUGAGGAGCAGCAUCAGAGACAUGUGGGAUGCGGUGAGUCGUAACUGGGGUCUGAGGCAGGCCACCACACCUCCUGCAAGGUGAAGAAGGCAGUCCCCAGCCAAGCAGGAAGAUUUGCCACAGUCUCAUUUGAGCUCCUGGCCAACAGCAAACAGUUCAGGGGACACCUCCAAGAGCCAAGGACGUGCAGAUGCCCCCAGUUGCUCCACAGCCAUGGGAUGUGUGGGGUCCUCACAAAUCCAGACAUCCUCAGAGAUCCACUGCGACCUUUUGGGUGAGCACCAGGAGCCGGUGGCUGUUGAUUUGACUUGUAAAUCAGCUGAAGUGAUGAUGGCAAGGUCAGCAAGAUCUGGGGCUCCUGGACACGUCCCUUGUCACAUCAGUUCCCGAGGCACAGUUGGCUGUAAUUUUGCCUGGUUUAAUUGGCACUUAAAUUAGGCACAAAUGGAGGAGCGCUGCAGCUGCGGCUGUGUUCAGAA